AGCAUAAUCAUUAGUUUUUUAAUUGAAAGCUGGAAUGAAGGGUCGGAUGAGAAAGUUUCUGUCUCACUUUAAUUUUGUUUGAAUUUUAUUUUUAAGUUAAAAAGCUUAGAUUUUAUAAAAAGACGAGAAGACCCUAUAGAGUUUAAUAGGUUUAGAUUUUUAUUAUUUUAGGGUUUUAUAUUGAUUGAUUUUUAACUUAUUUUGUUGGGGUGAUGUAAGAAUUGAGUUAACUUCUUUUUAUAAGAACAUUGAUUAAUGAAUAAUGGAUCCUUGAAUUUGGAUUGAAAGAAUAAAUUACCUUAGGGAUAACAGCGUAAUUCUUUUGGAGAGUUCUAAUCGAUAAAAGGGAUUGCGACCUCGAUGUUGGAUUAAAGUUUAAUUUUGGUGUAGAAGCUAUAAUUCUG
RNAcentral lists this ribosomal RNA (404 nucleotides) under Berberomeloe castuo. RNAcentral's name for it is "partial large subunit ribosomal RNA". Lineage: Eukaryota; Metazoa; Arthropoda; Insecta; Coleoptera; Meloidae. The record is from RNAcentral.